AAUAUUGGACAAUGGGCGAAAGCCUGAUCCAGCCAUGCCGCGUGAGUGAUGAAGGCCCUAGGGUUGUAAAGCUCUUUCACCGGUGAAGAUAAUGACGGUACCUGCAGAAGAAGCAUCGGCUACCUACGUGCCAGCAGCCGCGGUAAUACGUAGGAUGCAAGCGUUGUCCGGAAUUAUUGGGCGUAAAGCGAACGUAGGCGGUUUCUUAAGUUUGGUCUUAAAGGCCGGGGCUCAACCUCGGGAAUGGACUGAAUACUGGGAAGCUAGAGGAUGUUAGAGGAAAGUGGAAUUCCAAGUGUAGCGGUGAAAUGCGUAGAUAUUUGGAGGAACACCAGUGGCGAAAGCGGCUUUCUGGGACAUUCCUGACGCUGAGGUUCGAAAGCUCGGGGAGC
RNAcentral lists this ribosomal RNA (392 nucleotides) under uncultured bacterium. Its description in RNAcentral is "bacterial SSU rRNA". It matches the Rfam family "Bacterial small subunit ribosomal RNA", at positions 360 to 769 of the family's 1533-position model. The record is from RNAcentral.